This 256-nucleotide ribosomal RNA is filed under the name uncultured bacterium. RNAcentral describes it as "partial small subunit ribosomal RNA". It matches the Rfam family "Bacterial small subunit ribosomal RNA", at positions 26 to 287 of the family's 1533-position model. The record is from RNAcentral.
AGGACGAACGCUGGCGGCGUGCUUAACACAUGCAAGUCGAGCGGAAAGGCCCUUCGGGGUACUCGAGCGGCGAACGGGUGAGUAACACGUGGGCAACCUGCCCUUAGCUCUGGGAUAGCUCCGGGAAACCGGAAUUAAAUACCGGAUAUGACCUAGGCCGACAUCGGCCGUGGUGGAAAGUUUUUCGGCUAGGGAUGGACUCGCGGCCUAUCAGCUAGUUGGUGGGUAAUGGCCUACCAAGGCGACGACGGGUACG